RNAcentral lists this ribosomal RNA (492 nucleotides) under uncultured bacterium. RNAcentral's name for it is "partial 16S ribosomal RNA". It matches the Rfam family "Bacterial small subunit ribosomal RNA", at positions 29 to 507 of the family's 1533-position model. The record is from RNAcentral.
AGUGAACGCUGGCGGUAGGCCUAACACAUGCAAGUCGAACGGCAGCACAGUAGGAGCUUGCUCUUACGGGGGGCGAGUGGCGGACGGGUGGGGAAUACAUCGGAAUCGACUUUUUCGUGGGGGAUAACGUAGGGAAACUUACGCUAAUACCGCAUACGACCUACGGGUGAAAGCAGGGGAUCUUCGGACCUUGCGCGAUUGAAUGAGCCGAUGUCGAUUUAGUUAGUGGGGGGGGUAAAGGCCCACAAAGGCGACGAUCCGUAGCUGGUCUGAGAGGUGGUUCAGCCACAUUGGAACUGAGACACGCUCCAGCCCCUUACGGGAGGAACCAGUGGGGAAUAUUGGACAAUGGGCGAAAGCUUGCUCCAGACCUACCGCGUGGGUGAAGAAGGCCUCCGGGCUGUAAGCUCCUUUUGUUGGGAAAGAAAAGCAGCAGGUUAAUACGCCGCUGUUCUGACGGUACCCAACGAAUAAGCAACGGCUAACUUCGUG